This 21-nucleotide small nuclear RNA is filed under the name Arabidopsis thaliana (thale cress). RNAcentral describes it as "snRNA_07952". Lineage: Eukaryota; Viridiplantae; Streptophyta; Magnoliopsida; Brassicales; Brassicaceae. The record is from RNAcentral.
UCCGUAACUUCGGGAAAAGGA